Molecule: long non-coding RNA, 749 nt
Organism: Heteronotia binoei (common prickly gecko)
Lineage: Eukaryota; Metazoa; Chordata; Lepidosauria; Squamata; Gekkonidae
Exons: 3
Source: RefSeq, a predicted model, not a curated record
AGAUUCCAAGGGAUUGCGGAAGCGGUUGCGAAACCGGCUUGAAUCAUCCUUUCCUUCGCCUCCUCGGGUGAGACAGUCGAAAUCUGGAAGGGAUCGCGUCUAUCUUUCCCCCUCCUCCUCCCCCCCCCCUCUCUCUGACUCUCUUCUUCCCAGAGGGAGGGGUCUUCACGGGACACCCCGAGGCAAGACCCACCUGGCAAGGGAUUCUUUUCCUCCUCUCCCCGGUGCAACAAAACGCGAGACUUCUCGGACCUCCUAAGGACCACGUGAUCAGGAAAAAGUUGGUUUCGAUUCCUAAGAACGGGGAUUUUUCCGGGCAGCCGCCUCUGAGAUCCGAACUCUCCGCCUCCUUGCUGUGUGCAGUUCUCUUGGAUUUGGGAGUCCCAGGUUCGAAUCCACGCUGCACAUGGAAGCUCACUCUACAGUUGCCAGAUCCAGGUUGAGAAACUCCAGGAGAUUUGGAGGUGGAGCCUGGGGAGGACAGGGACCUCAGUGGAAUACAAUGCCAGAGAAUCCCCCCUCCAAAGUAUCCAUUAUCCCUUGGUGAACUUGAUGUCUGUAGACUGGAGAUGAAUUCCAGGAGAUCCCACCUGGAGAUUUCUGCUUGGUUCCAGAUUUCCACAAUCCAGAUCCUUUUGCAUGUUUAUUGGACAUCCUGUCCUGUUGGUUGCAUUAAUUUACACUGUGUCAUCCACCUUAAGUUCCAGUGAGAAAGGUGGGCUAAAAAUAAAAUAAAUAGAUGAAAUAAA